Molecule: non-coding RNA, 676 nt
Organism: Podarcis lilfordi (Lilford's wall lizard)
Lineage: Eukaryota; Metazoa; Chordata; Lepidosauria; Squamata; Lacertidae
Source: the annotation of a GenBank genome assembly
GUGACCGCAGACUAGCAGUCACUGCAGCUCACACAACGAGAGGAAGAGAAGAAAGAGAGAGAUGACUGCAUGCCUUGUCCUUUUUGUUACCUGGACAGGUAAGGUCACACCCACCUCUAGUCACACGCAAGAGGAAGUAUGUCCCGGCUCAGGAGGAAACAGGAAGUUUUUGACUGGCUGGAACAAACAUCGCCUUUGCGUGUCUACUCUAGGAAAAUAAGGAAUGUUGUACUUGACUGCUUCUUGUGUUUCACAUCCCACAGGACCUUCGUCUGCAAUGGCUGCUAAGUUAGAGUUGCCCUAUUUCAAAAAGUGAAAAUCCGGAUGGAAAAGUUGUUGAGCUAGCACUGUUUCCGACGGCCCUGUCCAACCCUAUGAAUGUUCAAAGUGGCCAAAUUUGCUGCAUUUUUUAAAACUCGCCAGCUACUUCCCAGAUGGCUCCUGGUGUGUCCAGCUUCCCUGGAGGGGAGUUUCACCUCUCCAAAGCCUUCCAGGUGCCGAGACGGGACAGUGACUAACCAUUUGCACGCUUGGUUAUCUUGAAGUAAAAAAAUGUCCACAGUUCACUUCAGUCUGGAGCAGGCCCGGUUAGAGAGGCCUCUCACCAAAGUGCCUUCCAGAGACCCCCUCUUAUUUCUGUGACUUUUCCACCGCAACAACAGGUGUUAUCUUGGGG